GACGAACGCUGGCGGCGUGCUUAACACAUGCAAGUCGAACGAAGAGCGAUGGAAGCUUGCUUCUAUCAAUCUUAGUGGCGAACGGGUGAGUAACGCGUAAUCAACCUGCCCUUCAGAGGGGGACAACAGUUGGAAACGACUGCUAAUACCGCAUACGAUCUAAACUCGGCAUCGAGGAUAGAUGAAAGGUGGCCUCUACAUGUAAGCUAUCACUGAAGGAGGGGAUUGCGUCUGAUUAGCUAGUUGGAGGGGUAACGGCCCACCAAGGCGAUGAUCAGUAGCCGGUCUGAGAGGAUGAACGGCCACAUUGGGACUGAGACACGGCCCAGACUCCUGCGGGAGGCAGCAGUGGGGAAUCUUCCGCAAUGGACGAAAGUCUGACGGAGCAACGCCGCGUGAGUGAUGACGGCCUUCGGGUUGUAAAGCUCUGUUAAUCGGGACGAAAGGCCUUCUUGCGAAUAGUGAGAAGGAUUGACGGUACCGGAAUAGAAAGCCACGGCUAACUACGUG
Molecule: ribosomal RNA, 510 nt
Filed under: uncultured bacterium
Lineage: Bacteria
Description: partial 16S ribosomal RNA
Rfam family: Bacterial small subunit ribosomal RNA
Source: RNAcentral